Molecule: long non-coding RNA, 270 nt
Filed under: Mytilus galloprovincialis (Mediterranean mussel)
Lineage: Eukaryota; Metazoa; Mollusca; Bivalvia; Mytilida; Mytilidae
Source: RNAcentral
CAAGUUUAUAAAAUUAUGUGAUUGACACCUUGUAAUAGGUCAUCAACAACUCAUAACUGCAGCAAGAUGGCAGAUAAUCAGCAUGAGAGAAGCAGAUAUGUCGCUGUGACAAUUGCACGUAUUGUUGGUCAUCACCAUUCCACUAUAAGUUGUUUUGAGAAUACAAAUCAGCCAACAAACGAUGUUAAAGACCUUCCGAGAUCAAGAAGACCCCCUAUAACAUCUGCUAGGGAAAAUCAAUCAUAAUGAAGGUUGGUCAGAAGGAAACCC